This 433-nucleotide ribosomal RNA is filed under the name uncultured bacterium. Its description in RNAcentral is "partial 16S ribosomal RNA". It matches the Rfam family "Bacterial small subunit ribosomal RNA", at positions 29 to 507 of the family's 1533-position model. The record is from RNAcentral.
AGCGAACGCUGGCGGCAGGCUUAACACAUGCGAGUCGAGCGGGCCCUUCGGGGUCAGCGGCGGACGGGUGAGUAACGCGUGGGAACGUGCCUUCUGGUCUGGAAUAACCCUGGGAAACUAGGGCUAAUACCGGAUACGCCCUUUUGGGGAAAGGUUUACUGCCGGAAGAUCGGCCCGCGUCUGAUUAGCUAGUUGGUGGGGUAACGGCCUACCAAGGCGACGAUCAGUAGCUGGUCUGAGAGGAUGAUCAGCCACACUGGGACUGAGACACGGCCCAGACUCCUACGGGAGGCAGCAGUGGGGAAUAUUGGACAAUGGGCGCAAGCCUGAUCCAGCCAUGCCGCGUGAGUGAUGAAGGCCUUAGGGUUGUAAAGCUCUUUUAUCCGGGACGAUAAUGACGGUACCGGAGGAAUAAGCCCCGGCUAACUUCGUG